UUGCAACCAAGUAAGGCAGCCAAGGCCCUUUCCCGAUGGGGGCCUGGUGUGUGAUGCUCACAAUGCCAGCAUCCUUGAUAUGAAGCCUGUUGCCUCGCUGGAUUGCCCUAAGAGACCUUGGAGACAAUU
Apodemus sylvaticus (European woodmouse) is the source of this 129-nucleotide small nucleolar RNA. RefSeq annotates it as small nucleolar RNA SNORA70. The record is from RefSeq and is a predicted model, not a curated record. The transcript has a single exon. NCBI's taxonomy places the organism in Eukaryota, Metazoa, Chordata, Mammalia, Rodentia, Muridae.